This 239-nucleotide long non-coding RNA is filed under the name Mytilus galloprovincialis (Mediterranean mussel). The record is from RNAcentral. Lineage: Eukaryota; Metazoa; Mollusca; Bivalvia; Mytilida; Mytilidae.
ACCGUUUUAAAACCAAUCUUUUCGUUUCUUUCUUGUGUCUGGUGUAGUCUAUAUAUGGGUUCCAAGGUGUUAAAUAAUCGUAUAAGCGCGUUUGUACUCGUUUCAGCGCUGGAUUGAUACCUUGUUACAUUUUCGUUCCUUAUGCGUUUAAAAAUACAAGUAUAAUAUGUUUAAACCUCUUAAAAAAAUCUUUUAACUUUUUUUUCUUUUCUCUGGUGAGAAAUAACGCUUUAAGCUUG